This 1509-nucleotide ribosomal RNA is filed under the name uncultured Klebsiella sp. RNAcentral's name for it is "bacterial SSU rRNA". It matches the Rfam family "Bacterial small subunit ribosomal RNA". Lineage: Bacteria; Pseudomonadati; Pseudomonadota; Gammaproteobacteria; Enterobacterales; Enterobacteriaceae. The record is from RNAcentral.
UUGAUGUUUUAUUCCUGCUCAGAUUGAACGCUGGCGGCAGGCCUAACACAUGCAAGUCGAGCGGUAGCACAGAGAGCUUGCUCUCGGGUGACGAGCGGCGGACGGGUGAGUAAUGUCUGGGAAACUGCCUGAUGGAGGGGGAUAACUACUGGAAACGGUAGCUAAUACCGCAUAACGUCGCAAGACCAAAGUGGGGGACCUUCGGGCCUCAUGCCAUCAGAUGUGCCCAGAUGGGAUUAGCUAGUAGGUGGGGUAACGGCUCACCUAGGCGACGAUCCCUAGCUGGUCUGAGAGGAUGACCAGCCACACUGGAACUGAGACACGGUCCAGACUCCUACGGGAGGCAGCAGUGGGGAAUAUUGCACAAUGGGCGCAAGCCUGAUGCAGCCAUGCCGCGUGUGUGAAGAAGGCCUUCGGGUUGUAAAGCACUUUCAGCGGGGAGGAAGGCGAUAAGGUUAAUAACCUUGUCGAUUGACGUUACCCGCAGAAGAAGCACCGGCUAACUCCGUGCCAGCAGCCGCGGUAAUACGGAGGGUGCAAGCGUUAAUCGGAAUUACUGGGCGUAAAGCGCACGCAGGCGGUCUGUCAAGUCGGAUGUGAAAUCCCCGGGCUCAACCUGGGAACUGCAUUCGAAACUGGCAGGCUAGAGUCUUGUAGAGGGGGGUAGAAUUCCAGGUGUAGCGGUGAAAUGCGUAGAGAUCUGGAGGAAUACCGGUGGCGAAGGCGGCCCCCUGGACAAAGACUGACGCUCAGGUGCGAAAGCGUGGGGAGCAAACAGGAUUAGAUACCCUGGUAGUCCACGCCGUAAACGAUGUCGAUUUGGAGGUUGUGCCCUUGAGGCGUGGCUUCCGGAGCUAACGCGUUAAAUCGACCGCCUGGGGAGUACGGCCGCAAGGUUAAAACUCAAAUGAAUUGACGGGGGCCCGCACAAGCGGUGGAGCAUGUGGUUUAAUUCGAUGCAACGCGAAGAACCUUACCUGGUCUUGACAUCCACAGAACUUACCAGAGAUGCUUUGGUGCCUUCGGGAACUGUGAGACAGGUGCUGCAUGGCUGUCGUCAGCUCGUGUUGUGAAAUGUUGGGUUAAGUCCCGCAACGAGCGCAACCCUUAUCCUUUGUUGCCAGCGGUUAGGCCGGGAACUCAAAGGAGACUGCCAGUGAUAAACUGGAGGAAGGUGGGGAUGACGUCAAGUCAUCAUGGCCCUUACGACCAGGGCUACACACGUGCUACAAUGGCAUAUACAAAGAGAAGCGACCUCGCGAGAGCAAGCGGACCUCAUAAAGUAUGUCGUAGUCCGGAUUGGAGUCUGCAACUCGACUCCAUGAAGUCGGAAUCGCUAGUAAUCGUAGAUCAGAAUGCUACGGUGAAUACGUUCCCGGGCCUUGUACACACCGCCCGUCACACCAUGGGAGUGGGUUGCAAAAGAAGUAGGUAGCUUAACCUUCGGGAGGGCGCUUACCACUUUGUGAUUCAUGACUGGGGUGAAGUCGUAACAAGGUAGCCGUACGG